RNAcentral lists this ribosomal RNA (868 nucleotides) under uncultured archaeon. RNAcentral's name for it is "bacterial SSU rRNA". It matches the Rfam family "Archaeal small subunit ribosomal RNA", at positions 1 to 878 of the family's 1478-position model. The record is from RNAcentral.
CUCCCGGUGAUCCCGCCGGACCCGACUGCUAUCAGAGUGGGACUAAGCCAUGCGAGUCAACAUAGCAAUAUGUGGCAUACGGCUCAGUAACACGUAGUCAACAUGCCCAGGGGACGUGGAUAACCUCGGGAAACUGAGGAUAAACCGCGAUAGGUCAUCACUUCUGGAAUGGGUAAUGACUUAAAUCUAUAUGGCCCCUGGAUUGGACUGCGGCCGAUCAGGCUGUUGGUGAGGUAAUGGCCCACCAAACCUGUAACCGGUACGGGCUCUGAGAGGAGGAGCCCGGAGAUGGGCACUGAGACAAGGGCCCAGGCCCUAUGGGGCGCAGCAGGCGCGAAACCUCUGCAAUAGGCGAAAGCUUGACAGGGUUACUCUGAGUGAUUUCCGUUAAGGAGAUCUUUUGGCACCUCUAAAAAUGGUGCAGAAUAAGGGGUGGGCAAGUCUGGUGUCAGCCGCCGCGGUAAUACCAGCACCCCGAGUGGUCGGGACGUUUAUUGGGCCUAAAGCAUCCGUAGCCGGUUCUACAAGUCUUCCGUUAAAUCCACCUGCUUAACAGAUGGGCUGCGGAAGAUACUAUAGAGCUAGGAGGCGGGAGAGGCAAGCGGUACUCGAUGGGUAGGGGUAAAAUCCGUUGAUCCAUUGAAGACCACCAGUGGCGAAGGCGGCUUGCCAGAACGCGCUCGACGGUGAGGGAUGAAAGCUGGGGGAGCAAACCGGAUUAGAUACCCGGGUAGUCCCAGCUGUAAACGAUGCAGACUCGGUGAUGAGUUGGCUUAUUGCUAACUCAGUGCCGCAGGGAAGCCGUUAAGUUUGCCGCCUGGGGAGUACGGUCGCAAGACUGAAACUUAAAGGAAUUGGCGGGGGAGCA